This 87-nucleotide transfer RNA is filed under the name Candidatus Wildermuthbacteria bacterium RIFCSPLOWO2_01_FULL_47_18. Its description in RNAcentral is "tRNA-Ser". It matches the Rfam family "tRNA". From Rfam's summary of the family: Transfer RNA (tRNA) molecules are approximately 80 nucleotides in length. Their secondary structure includes four short double-helical elements and three loops (D, anti-codon, and T loops). Lineage: Bacteria; Candidatus Wildermuthiibacteriota. The record is from RNAcentral.
GGAGGAGUACCCAAGUGGCCGACGGGAGCACGCUGCUAAUGUGCCAAGGGGUAACACCCUUCGUGGGUUCGAAUCCCACCUCCUCCG